This is a small nucleolar RNA of Cynara cardunculus var. scolymus (artichoke), 105 nucleotides long. The record is from RefSeq and is a predicted model, not a curated record. NCBI's taxonomy places the organism in Eukaryota, Viridiplantae, Streptophyta, Magnoliopsida, Asterales, Asteraceae.
AUGCCAUGGUGAGGGCAUUUUCUUAACAACUCUUUAAACAACCCAUGCAUCAGGAACAACUUCAUCGUCCAUUUGUUUAAAAAGACAAAUUUCAAAUUUGGACUU